This 254-nucleotide ribosomal RNA is filed under the name uncultured bacterium. RNAcentral's name for it is "partial 16S ribosomal RNA". It matches the Rfam family "Bacterial small subunit ribosomal RNA", at positions 79 to 334 of the family's 1533-position model. The record is from RNAcentral.
CUUUCUUUGCUGGCGACCGGCGCACGGGUGAGUAACACGUAUCCAACCUGCCCUUUACUCGGGGAUAGCCUUUCGAAAGAAAGAUUAAUACCCGAUAGCAUAAUGAUUCCGCAUGGUUUCAUUAUUAAAGGAUUCCGGUAAAGGAUGGGGAUGCGUUCCAUUAGGUUGUUGGUGAGGUAACGGCUCACCAAGCCUUCGAUGGAUAGGGGUUCUGAGAGGAGGGUCCCCCACAUUGGAACUGAGACACGGUCCAA